AGGCAUAUAGCUCAGGGUAAAGCACGUGCUUGGCAUGCACGAGGUUCUGGGUUCAACCCCAGUGCCUCUG
This 70-nucleotide transfer RNA is filed under the name Camelus bactrianus (Bactrian camel). It matches the Rfam family "tRNA". Rfam says of the family: Transfer RNA (tRNA) molecules are approximately 80 nucleotides in length. Their secondary structure includes four short double-helical elements and three loops (D, anti-codon, and T loops). Further hydrogen bonds mediate the characteristic L-shaped molecular structure. tRNAs have two regions of fundamental functional importance: the anti-codon, which is responsible for specific mRNA codon recognition, and the 3' end, to which the tRNAs corresponding amino acid is attached (by aminoacyl-tRNA synthetases). tRNAs cope with the degeneracy of the genetic code in two manners: having more than one tRNA (with a specific anti-codon) for a particular amino acid; and 'wobble' base-pairing, i.e. permitting non-standard base-pairing at the 3rd anti-codon position. The record is from Rfam by way of RNAcentral. Lineage: Eukaryota; Metazoa; Chordata; Mammalia; Artiodactyla; Camelidae. RNAcentral also lists the same sequence under 2 other names.